AGGAAAAAAAAAGAAAAAUUAACUCCACUUUUUGCAGAAUUAAGAAUCAGUACGGCAAAAAUAAUGCACAAAAUUUAAAUUAUAAUUAUAUUAAUACUUUUAUUGAAUGGAUUGGCCACUUGUAUAAUAAAGUCAUUUUAAUAACGUAGAGUGGUUCUACUGAUAAGGUUAUUUUAAAAAAAUUGGGUAUUAACAAUAGAAUUUUAGACUUAAAUAAAAAUGGCUUUUUAACCUUAACUAUUAAGGAUAACCUUGGUAAUUUAUUAUUUGGGAUUGAUUUGGGUUAUUUUAAAAAAAAUGGUCACUUACUUAAAUUAGAAGAGGCACAUAAAAUAAUAUGUGAUAAAAAGCAUGGUCUACCUCAUAUUCCUGAAGUUGACGUAGCCAUGACUAGGUGUCUAUUCAAUUUUGCAAUAGUUAAUUUAGGAGAAAAAUUUUUAAUACCAAAUUUAACUUAAUAUGAUGUUCUUUUAUUUAAUUUUUAGAAUGUGGUUUUGCUGGGGAUUGUUACUUAUAACUUGCCAAAAUAUAUUUAUUGAGAAAAUUAAGGUAUCAGUAUCUUCGGGUGCUUUCUUUAACGAGGUACAAGAGGCAAUGAUGUAUGAUAAAAGUAUUCCAUUAACUUAUACUCAGAUUAUUUUAGACAAAGAAAAAACAAACGUGGAAAGAACUUACAUUGCAGUUAAUAAGUUUAACGAUGAACAUAGAGUUGUUUCUGGUGUCGGGUUACAACACUGCGAUCCUCCGGUUACUGAUUUAUGUUGUAUUCCAAAAUUUUCCGCUGACAAAUACUCUCACCAAGAUGUGUGGAGGCGAUUUACAAAAAUUUACCAUUAGAACAAAUCAAUCAAGUCUGUUAUUUUAAAUGUAUUAAACACAUAGAAAAUGAUUAUAUUAUUAUCAAACAAAUAGGAGUAAAUAGUUUUGUUAUAACUAAUCCUCAACCUAAUCUGAAAGUCAGAACUUUUAAUGACCACAAUUAUACUGAAACAGAAUUAGAUAUAAACUAUGAUUACCCGGGUUUAAUUAAGAUAACAUUGUCUUGUGAACAAGAAUGAAUAAGAAAUAAUAAUAUUUUAAUCCCUAAAAUGUACCCUUGUGAAAAAAUUAACAAAAAUACUCUAAAAAUAUUAAGAAUAUUGCCUAUUUCUAGGACCAAUAUUAAAUCACUAAAAAUUAAACGUGAUGACCCUGAAGCAAUAGAAAAAUUUUAUUUUAACAAUAUUUCAGAAAUCCUUAAUAAAAAUUGGACCUCGGUGGUGCCAAACUUUCAUAUAACCAAACAAAUUAACUCUGAUGAAUAUUUUAAAGAUAUUAUGUUAAAAUCUUUUUCUAUUCCACUUAUAGACAAUUUUUUAGGAGAUAUUAUUUAUAUCUCUUGGCUGUCAUUAUUAACUUUGGUCAUGGCUUUCUCAAUUUACAAAUUCAUCAAUUUAUCCAAUGUUUAUAAAAGUAGACGUCAUGGGUUUACCACCUCCAAUACCUCCUAAAUAUCAAACAUAAUUUCUUACUACUGUUAUAUUGUUAGUUUUUUUUUCUCUCUUUUGUCUUUUCCUUUCUCUUUUAAAUAUUUACAAUUCUAUUAAUACACUAAAUAACUAACCACAAAUUAAUAGUAUAAAAACCUACACAAAGCGAAAAUCCAUUUAAUGAAGAUGGCUCCAAAGAUGGCAAACUAAAUAGAGUAUUCCAUCUUCCAGUAAAAAAAAAA
Daktulosphaira vitifoliae (grape phylloxera) is the source of this 1711-nucleotide long non-coding RNA. RefSeq lists it as uncharacterized. The transcript has 3 exons. NCBI's taxonomy places the organism in Eukaryota, Metazoa, Arthropoda, Insecta, Hemiptera, Phylloxeridae. The record is from RefSeq and is a predicted model, not a curated record.